RNAcentral lists this long non-coding RNA (451 nucleotides) under Sorghum bicolor (sorghum). RNAcentral's name for it is "long non-coding RNA (SBIC_LNC018698)". Lineage: Eukaryota; Viridiplantae; Streptophyta; Magnoliopsida; Poales; Poaceae. The record is from RNAcentral.
UAUUCAAUUCAACAAUCAUAUGUAGAUCUGUGAUAUAUAAACUAUUUUGUGAUAUAUAGACUAUGUGAUACACACUGUUGCAAUAAAUCCUAGUUUAUUUUCCUUUACAUGGGCUGCAUUUGCAUAUUUUCAGUGAGGAAAAGCUUCCUGGAAACUUGAGAUAGGAGCUGGUGGCACAUGUACAGUUAGUGGGACAUGUAAUAUGAAAUUGGUAAUUAGCAAGUGACUAUUGUAUAUAAUUAGCAAGUGACAUGUAUAUAAGACCCUGGCAGAUCACCUUUGCCUCUUGUUGCUGCAGAUUGAUACUCAUCAUGUUUUCACUAGUCCCAUAUUAAGUGACAUUACAUAUAUAAUGUAGUAGGUCGAUACAAGAAUCAAUGUAUGGAUAAUUUGAUCACUUUUGAAUGUCAUCACUUUUGUGUAUGUGAACCAAGGUAUGACUAAUGUUUGA